This 474-nucleotide ribosomal RNA is filed under the name uncultured organism. Its description in RNAcentral is "partial 16S ribosomal RNA". It matches the Rfam family "Bacterial small subunit ribosomal RNA", at positions 332 to 797 of the family's 1533-position model. The record is from RNAcentral.
UACACUCCUGCGGGAGGCAGCAGUGGGGAAUAUUGCACAAUGGGCGCAAGCCUGAUGCAGCCAUGCCGCGUGUAUGAAGAAGGCCUUCGGGUUGUAAAGUACUUUCAGCGGGGAGGAAGGCGAUAAGGUUAAUAACCUUGUUGAUUGACGUUACCCGCAGAAGAGGCACCGGCUAACUCCGUGCCAGCAGCCGCGGUAAUACGGAGGGUGCAAGCGUUAAUCGGAAUUACUGGGCGUAAAGCGCACGCAGGCGGUCUGUCAAGUCGGAUGUGAAAUCCCCGGGCUCAACCUGGGAACUGCAUUCGAAACUGGCAGGCUAGAGUCUUGUAGAGGGGGGUAGAAUUCCAGGUGUAGCGGUGAAAUGCGUAGAGAUCUGGAGGAAUACCGGUGGCGAAGGCGGCCCCCUGGACAAAGACUGACGCUCAGGUGCGAAAGCGUGGGGAGCAAACAGGAUUAGAAACCCCUGUAGUCCCA